Molecule: long non-coding RNA, 950 nt
Organism: Podarcis raffonei (Aeolian wall lizard)
Lineage: Eukaryota; Metazoa; Chordata; Lepidosauria; Squamata; Lacertidae
Exons: 2
Source: RefSeq, a predicted model, not a curated record
CACCACCGCGCGAACCGAACGAGCGCCGCCUCAGGCAGGGCUAGGCCUAGCCGUCGAAGGCGCCACGGCUAGCUAGGCCGCGGGCGACCUCCGCUGGCCGCCUCGGACAAGCGCACGGCGCCGCGAUAGCGUUCGCUCGGGCCAUACUUCCCUUCUGAAGAAAGCGCUUAGCAUUGGACAGGAAAUCUGUGAUCUUCCAGGUGUGUUGAUUCCAGUUCCCAUCAGCCAACAUAAGUGACGAGUCGUAAAACAAGUUCCGUAUGAAGGUUCCCCAUUCCUGGUUUUCAUAGUAAGGCUGAAAUCAAUGCUAUUUUGUGUGGUAAUGAAUCCUUAUCUAUAAAACGUAGUCAGGAAUUGAGGCUUCCCCCAGACUUUUCACACUUUGUGACAAGGUACAUGAUGGAAACAAAUAUGGAAAUACUUGAGGAAAUGUUUUAAUACAAAUAACCAAGUUUUGCAACUUAUGUCACCUUAAUUGUAUAAUAAGUUUUAUACAUUAUUUGUUCAGGUAUGUGUAUUUCUUAUAGCAAAUCAAUAAAACUGGCAAACUGAUCCCCUUCUGCAUGUGAAGACUGGAAAAACCGAUAUAUGCUGUUUUAUACAAUGCACAAAAUAAACAGGGGGUUUAUCGCUGCUGUGCCAGUACAUUCACAAACCUUUCAAUGGAGGUUCCACAAAGAAUGUUGUCAAAUAAUGGAGUUUGCUUUUCCAUAAAUCAUCCGGCAACGACUAGCAAAAGUGUAAAUCUGACAAGCAUCUCAUGUAGUUGUGGGGAAUAUUGACUUAGGCUGUCAUAGGAUGUAGGUCUGUGGUCCCCCCCCCAACUUCCCAUAAUUUUACAAGCGCCACAAUUCAAAGCAGGGAAGAGUGAUGUGACUCAACUCCUCUUACAAUCUUUGUGCGGAAAGUCAUGCCAUCACCAAGUUGUUUUUGCCCCUCCCGGGGAAGAC